CUCCCAAAAUGCUGGGAUUACAGGCGUGAGCCACAGCGCCCAGCCCAACAAGUUUAAUGUAAAUAAAUAUUAUGUGCAUAGAACUUCGUGUAAUGUAGAUAUGUUGCCUUCCCCAAAAGAGGAACUCAGGACUUGACCAUCGGGGAAGGGGCAUUUUUCAUCUUGCACCAUUGUCCUCACCAAUUUUUCAGUCUUUUGGGAGCUCAUGAUUACAGUGCCCUCAAACUUUACAGAAAAUAAACUUAUGGCACCCCAAAUACGUUUGAAACAAAAUUAAGGCUAAGCAAGGGCGUUUCCUAGCAUGGAAGCAUGCAUGGAAUUAAGAUGCUGGCUCUGCCGCCGACCAGGAGGUGGCGCUGUCCCACACAGACCAGAGGCAGCUGCUUCCACGUGAGGCCUCCGGCUGGGAACUGCGCAUGGAGAUUUUGGGGUGUGUCUUUGCUGGAAACCCUAAGGCCCCUCUGCUGCCAGUCUGCUGGUGUUUGCUGGAGGUCCCCUCCUGACCCUGUUUUCCUGGGUAUCACCAGUGGAGGCUGCAAAGCAGCAAAGAUUGCUGCUUGUUCUUUCCUCUGGAAGCUUCGACCCAGCAGGGAACCUGCCAGAUGCCAGCCAGAGCUCUUCUGUAUGAGGUGUCUGUCAGCCCCAACUGGGAGGUGUCUCCCAGUCAGUAUACACAGGGGUCAGGGAUCCACUUGAGGAGGCAGUCUGGCCCUUAGCAGGCUCGCAUGCUGUGUUGGGAGAUCCGCUGCUGUCUUCAGAGCCAUCAGGCAGGGACGUUUAAGUCUGCUACAAGCCUGACUGGGCUGCUGCCUUUUUUACAGAGAUGCCCUGUCCAGGGAGGAGCAAUCUCGCAGUCUGAACACGGCAGCCUUGCUGAGCUGCAAUGGGCUCCACCCAGUUUGAACUUCCCAGCAGCUUUGCUUACACUGUGGUGGUAAAACCGCCUGCUCAAGCCUCAGCAACGGCGGACGCCCCUCCCCCUACCAAGCGCCACCGUCCCAGGUGGAUCUCAGAUUGCUGCUGUGCUGGAAGCGAGAAUUUCAAACCAGUGGAUCUUACUUUCCUGGGCUCCAUGGGGGUGGGAACCGCCGAGCCAGACCACUUGGCUCCCUGGCUUCAGGCCCCCUUUCCAGGGGAGUGAACAGUUCUGUCUCGCUGGCGUUCCAGGUGCCACUGGGAUAUGGAAAAAUAAAAUAAAAUAAAAGCUCCUGCAGCUAGUUCAGUGUCUGCCCAGUUGGCCGCCCAGUUUUGUGCUUGAAACCCAGGGCCCUGGUGGGGUAGUCACCAGAGGGAAUCUCCUGGUUUGCAGGUUGUGAAGACCAUGGAACAAGUGCAGUAUAUGUGCCCAAGUUCCUCAGGCUGAGACCCUCACAGCUUCCCUUGGGUCAGGGGGAAAAUUUCCCGAUUCCUUGCGCUUCCCAGGUGAGGUGACACCCCACCCUGCUUCCGCUCAGCCUCUGUGGGCUGCACCCACUGUCCAACCUGCCCCGGUGAGAUGAACCAGGUACCUCAGUUGGAAAUGCAGAAAUCACCCACCGUCUGCAUCGAUCUCGCUGGGACCUGCAGACUGGUGCUGUUCCUAUUCGGCCAUCUUGAACCUCUCUCCUGAUCCCUGAGUUUUCAGAGAGACUGAUUUGAGUAAUAAUAAAACUCUGGUCUCCUGCUCA
Long non-coding RNA from Homo sapiens (human), 1667 nucleotides. RefSeq lists it as uncharacterized. Lineage: Eukaryota; Metazoa; Chordata; Mammalia; Primates; Hominidae. The transcript has 2 exons. The record is from RefSeq and is a predicted model, not a curated record.